This is a small nuclear RNA of Heterocephalus glaber (naked mole-rat), 138 nucleotides long. Its record names the gene U2. It matches the Rfam family "U2 spliceosomal RNA". From Rfam's summary of the family: U2 is a small nuclear RNA (snRNA) component of the spliceosome (involved in pre-mRNA splicing). Complementary binding between U2 snRNA (in an area lying towards the 5' end but 3' to hairpin I) and the branchpoint sequence (BPS) of the intron results the bulging out of an unpaired adenosine, on the BPS, which initiates a nucleophilic attack at the intronic 5' splice site, thus starting the first of two transesterification reactions that mediate splicing. NCBI's taxonomy places the organism in Eukaryota, Metazoa, Chordata, Mammalia, Rodentia, Bathyergidae. The record is from Ensembl.
AUCGCUUCUCAGCCUUUUGGCUAAGAUCAAGUGUAUUAAAUGUGCUUCAUACAAAUUACUUGUUUAUUAAUAUUUUUAAUGUUCUAGGAAAAUUCAUUAAAGACUUGCAACAGUGAAUGGUUUUAUCAAGAAACCCAU